GAGUUAUUGCCCAAGAGAGGGAUUUAUUUCCUGGCUUCAUUCUGGCUUUGCAAAGAAACAAUCAGCAGGAUGAUUUGAGAAAGGCCUGGAGAAACUUAACAUGAACUGAAGCUAAGUGAAGUAAGGAGAACCAAGAUAACAUUGUACACAAAAUAAGAUUAUUUGAUGAUCAAUUCUGAUGGCUGUGACUCUUUUCAGCAAUAAGGUGAUUCAGGUAUUUUUCUUACAUCUUUAACAAAUCGUA
This 244-nucleotide long non-coding RNA is filed under the name Sarcophilus harrisii (Tasmanian devil). RNAcentral's name for it is "lncRNA (ENSSHAG00000026113.1)". Lineage: Eukaryota; Metazoa; Chordata; Mammalia; Dasyuromorphia; Dasyuridae. The record is from RNAcentral.